This 501-nucleotide long non-coding RNA is filed under the name Rattus norvegicus (Norway rat). Its description in RNAcentral is "long non-coding RNA NONRATT003139". Lineage: Eukaryota; Metazoa; Chordata; Mammalia; Rodentia; Muridae. The record is from RNAcentral.
CCCCCAGCUGUGCCUUAAGGACUAAUUCUGGCACCCUCUGCUGGGAACUCCCUGAAUGCCUUUUAUUCCUUAAGGAGGUACACAGGGAAAGGGGCUUUGGGCCCCACCCUACUCUGCUUGGGAAUACCAAGUAUUCCAUGAGUUCACCUUAACCAGGUUGAUCUUUCUAAGAGGCUAACCCAGUGCUCCCCUCCAUUUCCUGCUACUGAGCAGUUCAUCCAGCUUUCCACAAAGUUGUUGCUGCCUGAUGUGAUGCCUCCUCAAGAUAGGGGCUCUAACCUCUCUCUGUCUUAGUUCUUGAAGUAGGCUCUCAAAAAUGUUCUCUCCUUCUCCCAAGGGAGGAGCCACAGAAUCCUCAGAAGAAAAAUGUGCCCUAACCUGCCCCAUGUGCCCAGGAUUGAUGCACCUGCUGAAUGACUCAGGCCCCAUGCUCCUGGGGGCCUUUCCUACCCCCAUCAGCAUCAAUAAAACCUCCUGUCUCCAAAAAAAAAAAGAAAGAAA